UGGGGAAUAUUGGGCAAUGGGCGAAAGCCUGACCCAGCAACGCCGCGUGAAGGAAGAAGGCUUUCGGGUUGUAAACUUCUUUCUCAGGGACGAACAGAUGACGGUACCUGAGGAAUAAGCCACGGCUAACUACGUGCCAGCAGCCGCGGUAAUACGUAGGUGGCAAGCGUUAUCCGGAUUUACUGGGUGUAAAGGGCGUGUAGGCGGGAAAGCAAGUCAGAUGUGAAAAGCCAUGGGCUCAACCUGUGGCCUGCAUUGAACUGUUUUUCUUGAGUACUGGAGAGGCAGACGGAAUUCCUAGUGUAGCGGUGAAAUGCGUAGAUAUUAGGAGGAACACCAGUGGCGAAGGCGGUCUGCUGGACAGCAACUGACGCUGAGGCGCGAAAGCGUGGGGAGCAAACAGGAUUAGAUACCC
Molecule: ribosomal RNA, 415 nt
Filed under: uncultured bacterium
Lineage: Bacteria
Description: bacterial SSU rRNA
Rfam family: Bacterial small subunit ribosomal RNA
Source: RNAcentral